AUGGACCAGUGGUCCACGGGGUGUGUCACGGAGCCAAGGAGGGACCCUUCCCUCCUGCUGGGCGAUGAGGCCCCCUUCCGGGCCCACCUGGGCCGGCAUCGUCAUCUCCAGCCCCAUGGUUCCCCGUGGCCCAUGGAAUGCACAUGCAUUUCUCUCACCACGGCCUGUUAUUCCCAACAUCUCUCCAAGAAAGGAGUUGGACAGACCCGGAGGGAAGAAACACAGGGAAGAACCAGAGAGGUCCAGGGUGGAAAUGGCAGGAUGGGGCAAGUGCCCGCUAUGCACCUUCCGCCUAGUGGGAGUGGUGCUCCGCUGCCAGGCAUCGGGAAGGAAAAUCAAGGAAAGAGAAAUGUCAUCCAUGAGUAAAGUCUGAUCAUCUUCAUAACCAUAAUAUACAAAGAGCUUUUAUAAAUCAAUAAGAAAGAAAAACACAAUAAUGGAAAAAUGGGCUCAAGAUACAAUUGAGUAAUUCAUAAAAGGAAAAUAUGGUCCAUAAAUACAGCUAAGAAAACACUGAAUUUUACCAACAAUCAGAGAGAUGGAACUUACAGCAGAGACAACUACAGUACCAAACGACCAAACCACAACCAAACUAGCAAAGAUGCAGAAGAGUGGUAAUACCAGGCUGGUGAGAUCUGGAGAGCAGAGGCACAGCUGUGGCACCUAAUGCCUCUCCAGCCCAGACCCAGGCAUGCUCUCUGAUCCAACUCACUUCUAGGAAUUCAAAGACAGGCACAGAGGGUUGGCUCCAAGGGUCCAGGCACUAAGCCUUAUCUAAAGUGCCCACAGAUCGAGAACGGCUGCUCCUUCGGCCUGUGCUGAGGUCUCCAGCCUCGGCACAGGCCUCAGGAAGUCGUGGCUGUGUGCCUGUCUGGGAGGGAGUGUGCGCUCCUUGGUGUUGCGGCUGCAAAGAUGCGUCCUGGAGGCAGUGGGUGGGAGCCACAGGGAGCAAACCAGCUGGAGGUCAGGAAGCAAGCCCAGGCAGUGAGGACCUGCCUGCAGAAGCAAUGAGCCUACUCGCUGGGGGCAAAUGAGCAGAAAGGGGCUGGGGUUUCCCUUAAGCGCUGCGACUGCUCCUCCACACAGCCUCCCCCAGAGCGGACUCCUUCCCAGACACUGCAGCAGCCCCACCCAGCCAGCCCCAGAGUUGCCCCACGCCUGGAACAAUGAACUCAGAGAGUGCACCGAGAACAUCCCACAGGGAACACGCUGGUGGACAGAUGGGUAAACUGAGGGCAGCAGUUCAAAUGAGUAAAACUGAGGCAGCUUGUCAAAUGAGUAAGUGUGUUGGGUGCAUCUUCCCUUCCCCACCAUAAGGGGAUGGUGGUUUACGUGCCUCUGAAUCCCCAGCCAGCACCUCGCACAGGGCCUGUGAACAGGAGGCGCCCACGCUGUGCCCUGCCCGCUGAGUCCCUGUGAAGGGAGCCACGUCCAGCCAGAGCCUCCGACGUACAGUGGGGCCCACAGGGACUUACUUCUGCAGCAUCUCAGUGCUUGGCUGUGCAGGAGGGGCCUCUCCCUCCCGCAGCUCCACCUGGGGUCCAGCUGGGACACCGCCCGCCUGGACACGCAUCCAGGAAAGAGGACCCUGCCAUCAACAGAUGAACAAGUUAACUGCGGUCCAUCCUUGCAAGGGAUAUUACCCAGGAUGGUGAGUCUCGCACAGCCCGCAUCACCCGGAACCCAAGAAUACUAUGCAGCCUGAAAGAUGCCAGCCUCCAAGGAUAAACCCUAUGACUCUGUCUUGAGGGUCACCAGAUUCCAUAGAGACAGGGAGCAUCUCAGGGGCUCCCAGAGCCAGGGAUGGCCCUUGCUUUGUGGGUUCAGAGUUUUUGCUGGGGGUGGUGAAAAAGGUUUGGUAUAGAUGCCAAUGAUGGUCACACAGGUUUUGACGGCCCUGGGCUUACACUUACAACUAAAGUGAGAAACAUUAGGUCGUGUUGGAUUUAGCCACAGUGUAAAAGCAAAUAAACAGAAACAGUGUGGACUCA
This is a long non-coding RNA of Vulpes vulpes (red fox), 1991 nucleotides long. NCBI's taxonomy places the organism in Eukaryota, Metazoa, Chordata, Mammalia, Carnivora, Canidae. The record is from Ensembl.